Molecule: ribosomal RNA, 346 nt
Filed under: uncultured bacterium
Lineage: Bacteria
Description: bacterial SSU rRNA
Rfam family: Bacterial small subunit ribosomal RNA
Source: RNAcentral
CCUGGCUCAGGACGAACGCUGGCGGCGUGCUUAACACAUGCAAGUCGAACGGUGAAGGGACCGGCUUUUGCUGGUUCUGGAUGAGUGGCGAACGGGUGAGUAACACGUGAGUAACCUGCCCCCUUCUUCUGGAUAACCGCAUGAAAGUGUGGCUAAUACGGGAUAUUCUGGGUCUGUCGCAUGGCGGGCCUGGGAAAGAUGCGCCUUUGGGUGUUUUUGGUGGGGGAUGGGCUCGCGGCCUAUCAGCUUGUUGGUGGGGUGAUGGCGUACCAAGGCGGUGACGGGUAGCCGGCCUGAGAGGGUUGACGGUCGCACUGGGUCUGUGACACGGCCCAGACACCGACAG